GUGACGGUUCUAUUUGCUGUGCCUUCUAUGUGCCUCUGCAGAGAGGGGCAAGAAGAAAGGCAGCCCUCCCAUCCCAGGGCUUUGACUCCAAAAGGGUUAAAUGGUAGCAAAGCUGAGGGAAUUUUGCAUUUUCCUUAGGUUAUAUUUUUCUCAAACAUUUAAACAACUUUGGUUCACAAUAGCACCUGUAAGUACUUUCUUUCAACUUUGUAAAAGGGACUCUAUUUUCUUACUCUAAAUAAAUAUAUGCAGGAAAUCUCACACACAUGUGUGUUGACACAUGCAUAAUGAUGCAUAUCUUUUAAGUCUUGCCCAUUUCAAUAGGAGAUGCUAUUGAACAUUUUACUUAAAGAAGAAUAGAUUUCUCACAUUAACUGAGAUGACCAGUGACCCCAAACCAAUUAAUGAAUAGAGUCCAUAAUGGUAGCACUAUAUAGCAUAGCAUAGUGACAAGUUCAUUUAACAUAUUAUAUUACCUAACAGGAGGAGAAACUACCACUUGUAAUGUAAAUAGCUUAAUGGCUCUUUCUAUGAUAAGCAAGAUCAGAAAAAAAAUUUAUGUUCUGCUUUAACAAGAGAUAUUCCAUAUCUUUUGGAGGUGUAUCUAUAAUACUGUACAUUUUCAUUUUGCCACAAAUCUUCCCCUAAUUUCUUAGAGUGAUGUUUGUGCACAUGACUUUAAUUUUCUGAGGGAGAUGGGCAGGUGUUCUUGUGCCCAUUAGUUGUGUCUGCCCAUAAGAAGCACAGUAACAUCCAUGAACCAAAUACAAUUUGACAUAAUUCAUGCCUUUAUUACCUCCUACAGAAUGAUAUUAUUUCAUGCUGGCACCUUAAUGUUUCCAGCACAAUACUGUCAUUCCUGGAAGUUUUACUUUCUGAAGUUCAAAUGUUAUGGAAGGAGUUUUAAAAUUCCACAAGUGCCUUAGAUUUGAGGCAAAUACAACAAAUUUGGUGAUAAGCUUUUUUAACUUUUUAUUUUUUUAAUAUUUAGUGGCACUGCAGACAAUGUUUAGACAAUGAGCAAAGGUCAUUUCUGAAAACUCUUCUCUUCUUGACCAAAGAACUUAUUUCUGUUCUAUUUCUGGUUUUGCAAAUGAUAUUUACUCAGCUUAUCAUGUUAUACUUUGCUUUUUGUUCCCCUAGGAUGUAAAAUCAGGAAAUGUGGAUCAAAAAGUUUCCAUGAUUGCAACUUGAAUAUAUUUGGUGUAGCACUUACAUCUUUCCUACUAUUCCAGUGCUUGGAAUUAGUUAGGGCAGACAGUAUUAGCUUCCUAUCACUGCCAUAACAAAUUACCACAAACUCAGUGGUUAAAACAACACAAAUUUAUUAUUUUACAUUUUUGUAAGUUGGAAGUUCAGAGGACUAACUUGUCAACAGAGCUGCAUUCCUCUGGAGGCUCUAGGGGAGAAUCCAAUUCCUUGCAUAUCCUAACUUCCAGAGGCCACUUGCCUUCCUUGGCUUGUGGCCCCUUCCUUCAUAUUCAAAACCAUCAAGGGCAGGGAAAUCCCUCUCACAUGGCAUUGAUCUUACCCUCUUCUGUCAUUAUACCUCUCCCUUUGAGUCCAACUGGAAAAUGUUCUUGACUUUUAAGGACUCAUGUGAUUACAAUGAGCUGAUUAGGAUAAUAUCCUUAUUUCUAGGUCCAUUCCCUAAAUGACUUCUGCAAAGUCUCUUUUGUCAUGAAAGAGAUAUUUACAGACUUGGAGAUUUGGAGCUGGGUGUCUUGGAGCACUGUUGAUCAGCUUAUCAUAGGGAGUCUUUGAGAGUUUUUUUUUUUUAAAUUUUAUUUUUAGUUGUAGAUGGACACAACACCUUUAUUUUUAUUCAUUCAUUUUUAUGUGGUGCUGAGGACCAAACCCAGUGCCUCACAUAUGCCAGUAGAGUGCUCUAUCACAGAGACACAACCGCAGCUCUGAGAG
This 1920-nucleotide long non-coding RNA is filed under the name Marmota monax (woodchuck). The record is from RNAcentral. Lineage: Eukaryota; Metazoa; Chordata; Mammalia; Rodentia; Sciuridae.